UGUUGUAAUAAUGUGGGAAUAAAAGGGGUUGAUACUGAGAAGAUAAAAAAAUACGCCGAAGAGGUAUAUGAGGCAUUUAACACAAUGAAUGAUAAUAAUAUUUAUAUGGAUUAUUUGAAUGACAAUGGACAAGAAAUAUAUGAUACUAAAAGGAAUAAAAUAAAAAACUUUGAUAAUAAAAAAAAUGAUAAUUUAAAAAAUGUAUAUGAACAUGUCACUAAUGAAAAAAAUAUUAGUUUAAUUAAACUUUUUAUAUGUUUAAGUAAAUAUUGUUAUAAUUAUAUACAUCUCUUUUUAUUUAUGCAGUAUCAUGAUUUGAUAGUUUAUACAUAUGACAAGAAAAUUAUGCCUUUUUUUUGUUUGAAUGAUGGUGAGUAUAUAGAUAGAUGUGCGAUGAGUCCUGUAAAUGAUAUUAGUUCUGAUAGUAAUGAUAGUGUGACUUUUUUUGAUGUACAAACUAGUAAUAUAAUAAAGGGUGAUAAUCAUGGAAGCACAUGUAGCAAAAAUAAUGAUGUAUGUGCUUUUUCAAAUGGGUCAACGAAACAAGAAGAAGCAGUCUGUUUAUGUAAUAAUAAAGAAAAUAAAUUAGUUGAUUAUAAGAAAGCAAACAAUAAAUUUUGUUUUUUUAUAAAAUAUAUUUAUAAAAAAUUAUUAAUAAAUAAAAUAAACGAACAGAAUGAUGUAAUAAAAUUCAAAAUAUUUCAGUAUAUACCUAUUAAUGAUAUUCGUAAAAGUGUAAUAAGAAUUGAAGAUGAGUUUUUAAAUUUAAAAAGUGAAUUUUUACAAAGCACUUAUGCAAUAUCAUCAGUAAAUAAACAGUUGAUGAAUUACUUAGUUGACACAAAUUAUGAUGUAAUUACUAAUGCUAUGUUAAGUUUUUUAAUAGAUUAUUUGAACAAUAUUAAUUUGAAAAAUUUGGCUAUACAUGUACCAUAUUUUUUACACAUGGUUUGUAAAAAAAUUAUAAAUACAUAUGUUAUGCAGGGCAAACUGUGCAUUAAAUUUUUGUCAACGUUGAAAAGUGCAUGU
Molecule: long non-coding RNA, 1029 nt
Filed under: Piliocolobus tephrosceles (Ugandan red Colobus)
Lineage: Eukaryota; Metazoa; Chordata; Mammalia; Primates; Cercopithecidae
Description: lncRNA (ENSPTEG00000010795.1)
Source: RNAcentral